ACUAAGCGUACACGGUGGAUGCCCUGGCAGUCAGAGGCGAUGAAGGACGUGCUAAUCUGCGAUAAGCGUCGGUAAGGUGAUAUGAACCGUUAUAACCGGCGAUUUCCGAAUGGGGAAACCCAGUGUGUUUCGACACACUAUCAUUAACUGAAUCCAUAGGUUAAUGAGGCGAACCGGGGGAACUGAAACAUCUAAGUACCCCGAGGAAAAGAAAUCAACCGAGAUUCCCCCAGUAGCGGCGAGCGAACGGGGAGCAGCCCAGAGCCUGAAUCAGUGUGUGUGUUAGUGGAAGCGUCUGGAAAGGCGCGCGAUACAGGGUGACAGCCCCGUACACAAAAAUGCACAUGCUGUGAGCUCGAUGAGUAGGGCGGGACACGUGGUAUCCUGUCUGAAUAUGGGGGGACCAUCCUCCAAGGCUAAAUACUCCUGACUGACCGAUAGUGAACCAGUACCGUGAGGGAAAGGCGAAAAGAACCCCGGCGAGGGGAGUGAAAAAGAACCUGAAACCGUGUACGUACAAGCAGUGGGAGCACGCUUAGGCGUGUGACUGCGUACCUUUUGUAUAAUGGGUCAGCGACUUAUAUUCUGUAGCAAGGUUAACCGAAUAGGGGAGCCGAAGGGAAACCGAGUCUUAACUGGGCGUUAAGUUGCAGGGUAUAGACCCGAAACCCGGUGAUCUAGCCAUGGGCAGGUUGAAGGUUGGGUAACACUAACUGGAGGACCGAACCGACUAAUGUUGAAAAAUUAGCGGAUGACUUGUGGCUGGGGGUGAAAGGCCAAUCAAACCGGGAGAUAGCUGGUUCUCCCCGAAAGCUAUUUAGGUAGCGCCUCGUGAAUUCAUCUCCGGGGGUAGAGCACUGUUUCGGCAAGGGGGUCAUCCCGACUUACCAACCCGAUGCAAACUGCGAAUACCGGAGAAUGUUAUCACGGGAGACACACGGCGGGUGCUAACGUCCGUCGUGAAGAGGGAAACAACCCAGACCGCCAGCUAAGGUCCCAAAGUCAUGGUUAAGUGGGAAACGAUGUGGGAAGGCCCAGACAGCCAGGAUGUUGGCUUAGAAGCAGCCAUCAUUUAAAGAAAGCGUAAUAGCUCACUGGUCGAGUCGGCCUGCGCGGAAGAUGUAACGGGGCUAAACCAUGCACCGAAGCUGCGGCAGCGACGCUGAUGCGUUGUUGGGUAGGGGAGCGUUCUGUAAGCCUGCGAAGGUGUGCUGUGAGGCAUGCUGGAGGUAUCAGAAGUGCGAAUGCUGACAUAAGUAACGAUAAAGCGGGUGAAAAGCCCGCUCGCCGGAAGACCAAGGGUUCCUGUCCAACGUUAAUCGGGGCAGGGUGAGUCGACCCCUAAGGCGAGGCCGAAAGGCGUAGUCGAUGGGAAACAGGUUAAUAUUCCUGUACUUGGUGUUACUGCGAAGGGGGGACGGAGAAGGCUAUGUUGGCCGGGCGACGGUUGUCCCGGUUUAAGCGUGUAGGCUGGUUUUCCAGGCAAAUCCGGAAAAUCAAGGCUGAGGCGUGAUGACGAGGCACUACGGUGCUGAAGCAACAAAUGCCCUGCUUCCAGGAAAAGCCUCUAAGCAUCAGGUAACAUCAAAUCGUACCCCAAACCGACACAGGUGGUCAGGUAGAGAAUACCAAGGCGCUUGAGAGAACUCGGGUGAAGGAACUAGGCAAAAUGGUGCCGUAACUUCGGGAGAAGGCACGCUGAUAUGUAGGUGAAGUCCCUCGCGGAUGGAGCUGAAAUCAGUCGAAGAUACCAGCUGGCUGCAACUGUUUAUUAAAAACACAGCACUGUGCAAACACGAAAGUGGACGUAUACGGUGUGACGCCUGCCCGGUGCCGGAAGGUUAAUUGAUGGGGUCAGCGCAAGCGAAGCUCUUGAUCGAAGCCCCGGUAAACGGCGGCCGUAACUAUAACGGUCCUAAGGUAGCGAAAUUCCUUGUCGGGUAAGUUCCGACCUGCACGAAUGGCGUAAUGAUGGCCAGGCUGUCUCCACCCGAGACUCAGUGAAAUUGAACUCGCUGUGAAGAUGCAGUGUACCCGCGGCAAGACGGAAAGACCCCGUGAACCUUUACUAUAGCUUGACACUGAACAUUGAGCCUUGAUGUGUAGGAUAGGUGGGAGGCUUUGAAGUGUGGACGCCAGUCUGCAUGGAGCCGACCUUGAAAUACCACCCUUUAAUGUUUGAUGUUCUAACGUUGACCCGUAAUCCGGGUUGCGGACAGUGUCUGGUGGGUAGUUUGACUGGGGCGGUCUCCUCCUAAAGAGUAACGGAGGAGCACGAAGGUUGGCUAAUCCUGGUCGGACAUCAGGAGGUUAGUGCAAUGGCAUAAGCCAGCUUGACUGCGAGCGUGACGGCGCGAGCAGGUGCGAAAGCAGGUCAUAGUGAUCCGGUGGUUCUGAAUGGAAGGGCCAUCGCUCAACGGAUAAAAGGUACUCCGGGGAUAACAGGCUGAUACCGCCCAAGAGUUCAUAUCGACGGCGGUGUUUGGCACCUCGAUGUCGGCUCAUCACAUCCUGGGGCUGAAGUAGGUCCCAAGGGUAUGGCUGUUCGCCAUUUAAAGUGGUACGCGAGCUGGGUUUAGAACGUCGUGAGACAGUUCGGUCCCUAUCUGCCGUGGGCGCUGGAGAACUGAGGGGGGCUGCUCCUAGUACGAGAGGACCGGAGUGGACGCAUCACUGGUGUUCGGGUUGUCAUGCCAAUGGCACUGCCCGGUAGCUAAAUGCGGAAGAGAUAAGUGCUGAAAGCAUCUAAGCACGAAACUUGCCCCGAGAUGAGUUCUCCCUGACUCCUUGAGAGUCCUGAAGGAACGUUGAAGACGACGACGUUGAUAGGCCGGGUGUGUAAGCGCAGCGAUGCGUUGAGCUAACCGGUACUAAUGAACCGUGAGGCUUAACC
This 2893-nucleotide ribosomal RNA is filed under the name human gut metagenome. RNAcentral's name for it is "bacterial LSU rRNA". It matches the Rfam family "Bacterial large subunit ribosomal RNA". The record is from RNAcentral.